UACGUAGGGGGCAAGCGUUGUCCGGAAUCAUUGGGCGUAAAGCGCGCGUAGGCGGCCCUGUAAGUCCGUUGUGAAAGUCAAAGGCUCAACCUUUGAAAGCCGAUGGAUACUGCAGGGCUAGAGUCCGGAAGAGGCGAGUGGAAUUCCUGGUGUAGCGGUGGAAUGCGCAGAUAUCAGGAGGAACACCAAUAGCGAAGGCAGCUCGCUGGGACGGUACUGACGCUCAGGCGCGAAAGCGUGGGGAGCGAACAGG
RNAcentral lists this ribosomal RNA (253 nucleotides) under uncultured bacterium. RNAcentral's name for it is "partial 16S ribosomal RNA". It matches the Rfam family "Bacterial small subunit ribosomal RNA", at positions 524 to 776 of the family's 1533-position model. The record is from RNAcentral.